Long non-coding RNA from Ornithorhynchus anatinus (platypus), 532 nucleotides. RefSeq lists it as uncharacterized. The record is from RefSeq and is a predicted model, not a curated record. NCBI's taxonomy places the organism in Eukaryota, Metazoa, Chordata, Mammalia, Monotremata, Ornithorhynchidae. The transcript is spliced from 3 exons.
GACAGGGUCCUCAUUUCAGAGGCAGAGCCUUGAGAUUUGAAGCUUGGAAGCGAAGCGUGCUGGUCACCGGAAGCAUUUUGACUCAAUGGAAUGUACCCGCUAAAUCCGCCCAGGGCAGUUACCAUAUCCGUCGAGGGGAAUCCUUGACUUCGAGCUUUGCUUGAACAAUCCUGGCAUGACACGGGGGCAUCUACUCCAGUUGAAAAAGCCUGAUGGACGACACACGGUUUGCCUGGCGGAGCCAGGGGUAGAUUUUCUUUGAAUUUUGCGGCAGCUUGGUCCUCCGUUGGAACUGGACUGGCUCGAACUAUUGUCGUGCUCAAUUCAUUCGUGGCGUCACUCUAAGAAUAACCGAAGAAUUCCAAUUUGGCAAUACUGCUUAUUUAAAAAACGGAGGCAGUACACGAUCGUCACGAGGAAGUCUAUGAAGAUGAGCAACUGUACAACUAGGGGAAUCUGAAUCAGAUCUGAAAGACAGAAGAAACCAAGGGGGGUUACAUAUUGGAAGAGGAAUACAUUCAUGAUGCCUCAA